This 253-nucleotide ribosomal RNA is filed under the name uncultured bacterium. RNAcentral describes it as "partial 16S ribosomal RNA". It matches the Rfam family "Bacterial small subunit ribosomal RNA", at positions 524 to 776 of the family's 1533-position model. The record is from RNAcentral.
UACGAAGGGGGCUAGCGUUGUUCGGAAUCACUGGGCGUAAAGCGCACGUAGGCGGACUCUUAAGUCGGUGGUGAAAUCCUGGAGCUCAACUCCAGAACUGCCUUCGAUACUGGGAGUCUCGAGUGCGGGAGAGGUGAGUGGAACUGCGAGUGUAGAGGUGAAAUUCGUAGAUAUUCGCAAGAACACCAGUGGCGAAGGCGGCUCACUGGCCCGAUACUGACGCUGAGGUGCGAAAGCGUGGGGAGCGAACAGG